Long non-coding RNA from Enhydra lutris kenyoni (northern sea otter), 515 nucleotides. RefSeq lists it as uncharacterized. The record is from RefSeq and is a predicted model, not a curated record. The transcript is spliced from 2 exons. NCBI's taxonomy places the organism in Eukaryota, Metazoa, Chordata, Mammalia, Carnivora, Mustelidae.
UGAUACGGACGAACAGACGCCAAUACAGCCGCACUACAGGCCAUCUUAUACAACCGUAUUGGAGAUGUAGGGUUUAUCUUAGCCAUGGCCUGAUUCCUAGCCAACCUAAACACCUGAGAUCUACAACAAAUCUUCAUAACCGACCACAAAAAUCUGAACCUCCCUCUCAUAGGCCUAUUAUUAGCAGCUACCGGAAAAUCCGCACAAUUUGGCCUCCACCCAUGAUUGCCCUCGGCCAUAGAAGGUCCAACCCCUGUAUCAGCCCUACUGCAUUCAAGCACUAUGGUUGUGGCAGGAGUAUUUCUGCUAAUCCGAUUCCAUCCCCUAAUAGAACAUAACAAAACAAUUCAAACCAUCACACUGUGUCUAGGAGCAAUCACAACCCUAUUUACAGCAAUUUGUGCCCUAACACAAAACGACAUCAAAAAAAAUUAUUGCUUUCUCCACUUCAAGCCAACUCGGACUAAUAAUCGUAACCAUCGGCAUCAAUCAGCCCUACCUAGCGUUUCUCCAUA